CGGAGCUUGCUCCGCGGAUCAGUGGCGAACGGGUGAGUAACACGUGAGCAACCUACCCCUGACUCUGGGAUAACAGUUGGAAACAGCUGCUAAUACCGGAUACGACCUCAGCAGGCAUCUGCCGAGGUGGAAAGCUCCGACGGUCAGGGAUGGGCUCGCGGCCUAUCAGCUUGUUGGUGAGGUAACGGCUCACCAAGGCGACGACGGGUAGCCGGCCUGAGAGGGCGACCGGCCACACUGGGACUGAGAUACGGCCCAGACUCCUACGGGAGGCAGCAGUGGGGAAUAUUGCACAAUGGGCGCAAGCCUGAUGCAGCAACGCCGCGUGCGGGAUGACGGCCUUCGGGUUGUAAACCGCUUUCAGCAGGGACGAAGCUAACGUGACGGUACCUGCAGAAGAAGCACCGGCUAACUACGUGCCAGCAGCCGCGGUGAUACGUAGGGUGCGAGCGUUGUCCGGAUUUAUUGGGCGUAAAGAGCUUGUAGGCGGUUUGUUGCGUCGGAAGUGAAAACUCAGAGCUUAACUCUGAGCCUGCUUUCGAUACGGGCAGACUUGAGGGAUGUAGGGGAGAACGGAAUUCCUGGUGGAGCGGUGGAAUGCGCAGAUAUCAGGAGGAACACCAGUGGCGAAGGCGGUUCUCUGGACAUUUCCUGACGCUGAGAAGCGAAAGCGUGGGGAGCAAACAGGCUUAGAUACCAUGGUAGUCCACGCCGUAAACGGUGGGCACUAGGUGUGGGACCAUUCCACGGGUUCCGUGCCGUAGCUAACGCAUUAAGUGCCCCGCCUGGGGAGUACGGCCGCAAGGCUAAAACUCAAAGGAAUUGACGGGGGCCCGCACAAGCGGCGGAGCAUGCGGAUUAAUUCGAUGCAACGCGAAGAACCUUACCUGGGUUUGACAUAUACCGGAAACAUCUGGAGACAGGUGCCCCGCAAGGUCGGUAUACAGGUGGUGCAUGGCUGUCGUCAGCUCGUGUCGUGAGAUGUUGGGUUAAGUCCCGCAACGAGCGCAACCCUCGUUCUAUGUUGCCAGCGGAUAAUGCCGGGAACUCAUAGAAGACUGCCGGGGUCAACUCGGAGGAAGGUGGGGAUGACGUCAAGUCAUCAUGCCCCUUAUGUCCAGGGCUUCACGCAUGCUACAAUGGCUGGUACAAAGGGCUGCGAUAUCGCAAGAUGGAGCGAAUCCCAUAAAGCCAGUCUCAGUUCGGAUUGGGGUCUGCAACUCGACCCCAUGAAGUCGGAGUCGCUAGUAAUCGCAGAUCAGCAACGCUGCGGUGAAUACGUUCCCGGGCCUUGUACACACCGCCCGUCAAGUCAUG
Molecule: ribosomal RNA, 1317 nt
Filed under: Propionicimonas paludicola
Lineage: Bacteria; Bacillati; Actinomycetota; Actinomycetes; Propionibacteriales; Nocardioidaceae
Description: bacterial SSU rRNA
Rfam family: Bacterial small subunit ribosomal RNA
Source: RNAcentral